Long non-coding RNA from Magnolia sinica, 403 nucleotides. RefSeq lists it as uncharacterized. The record is from RefSeq and is a predicted model, not a curated record. The transcript has 3 exons. Lineage: Eukaryota; Viridiplantae; Streptophyta; Magnoliopsida; Magnoliales; Magnoliaceae.
GAGAAGUAUCAAAAGAGGCCUGAGUCAUCUCUUGCAACUGGUUUGUUAUCUGUGACCCUUGCUACACUGAUGUGCUAUCCUUUGGACACUGUGAGAAGGCAGAUGCAAAUGAGGGGUUCACCAUACAGGACUGUUCUGGAUGCUUUUCCAAGUGCUUGCUUUUGAAGCAGGAAGGCGCCACAAGAUUCGAGUUAAUACGAUAUCUGCUGGCCCGUUGAGAAGCCGUGCAGCAAAAGCAAUUGGAUUCAUUGACACCAUGAUUGAAUACUAAUUAGCCAAUGCACCAAUGCAGAAAGACCUGCUGGCAGGUGAAUACCUAAAAUUCUGUUGUUGGUUUAUAGUUCGAACAUAUUGGCCAUUACAUAACAAAAUUCGAGCUGCUGAUUACAAUAAGUGCUGUUUG